UACAGAGGGUGCGAGCGUUAAUCGGAAUUACUGGGCGUAAAGCGUGCGUAGACGGUUAUGUAAGUCGGGCGUGAAAGCCCCGGGCUCAACCUGGGAAUUGCAUUCGAGACUGCAUAGCUAGGGUGCGGAAGAGGGAAGCGGAAUUUCCGGUGUAGCGGUGAAAUGCGUAGAUAUCGGAAGGAACAUCAGUGGCGAAAGCGGCUUCCUGGUCCAGCACCGACGUUCAGGCACGAAAGCGUGGGGAGCAAACAGG
Molecule: ribosomal RNA, 253 nt
Filed under: uncultured bacterium
Lineage: Bacteria
Description: partial 16S ribosomal RNA
Rfam family: Bacterial small subunit ribosomal RNA
Source: RNAcentral